RNAcentral lists this ribosomal RNA (440 nucleotides) under uncultured bacterium. Its description in RNAcentral is "partial 16S ribosomal RNA". It matches the Rfam family "Bacterial small subunit ribosomal RNA", at positions 339 to 795 of the family's 1533-position model. The record is from RNAcentral.
CUACGGGACGCUGCAGUGAGGAAUAUUGCACAAUGGGGGGAACCCUGAUGCAGCAACGCCGCGUGGAGGAUGACGCAUUUCGGUGUGUAAACUCCUUUUAUAUGUCAAGAAAAUGACGGUAGCAUAUGAAUAAGCACCGGCUAACUCCGUGCCAGCAGCCGCGGUAAUACGGAGGGUGCAAGCGUUACUCGGAAUCACUGGGCGUAAAGGAUGCGUAGGCGGGGUUGGAAAGUCAGGUGUGAAAUCCUACAGCUUAACUGUAGAACUGCACUUGAAACUUCUAAUCUAGAGUAUGGGAGGGGGAGAUGGAAUUAGUGGUGUAGGGGUAAAAUCCGUAGAUAUCACUAGGAAUACCUAAAGCGAAGGCGAUCUACUAGAACAUUAUUGACGCUGAGACGCGAAAGCGUGGGGAGCAAACAGGAUUAGAUACCCCAGUAGUC